RNAcentral lists this ribosomal RNA (515 nucleotides) under uncultured bacterium. RNAcentral describes it as "partial 16S ribosomal RNA". It matches the Rfam family "Archaeal small subunit ribosomal RNA", at positions 532 to 1043 of the family's 1478-position model. The record is from RNAcentral.
GGUGUAAUGUCCAUAUAACGACGGUUAAUAAGAUCCAGAAUAGGGGAAGAGACUGCUAAGAUUCUGAGAUCGGGUGAUGUUAAACAGUACUCUCAGGGUAAGGGUAAAAUCAUGUAAUCCCGGAAGGACGACCAGAGGCGAAAGCGUUUAGCUAGAACGAAUCUGACGGUAAGGAACGAAGGCUAGGGUAGCAAACCGGAUUAGAUACCCGGGUAGUCCUAGCUGUAAACAUUGCCCAUUUGAUGUUGCUUUCCCGUUGAGGGAAGGCAGUGUCGGAGCGAAGGUGUUAAAUGGGCCGCUUGGGAAGUAUGGUCGCAAGACUGAAACUUAAAGGAAUUGGCGGGGGAGCACCGCAACGGGAGGAAUGUGCGGUUUAAUUGGAUUCAACGCCGGAAAACUCACCGGGAACGACCUGUGCAUGAGAGUCAACUUGACGAGCUUACUCGAUAGCAGGAGAGGUGGUGCAUGGCCGUCGUCAACUCGUACCGUANGGCGUUCACUUAUGUGUGAUAACG